CGUCGCCUGGCCUUUGCUUGACUGCGUUCGUUCGCAAUCCGUUGCAGUCGAAAAGUACUUCCUAGCGCUACGCGCUCUCGACGGAGAACGGGCAAAGAGGAGCCAGGAGGAAGAACUCGAUACAUCUGCGCUGCUUUCCUCUUCGUCGCGCGCGUCCAGUGAUACUCGCGCCUCUCCAUACAACACAUCCCACACACUCAAACACGUGCACGCGCUACCUCAUGAGCUCGUCGUCACAACCUGCGCAGAAGAGGGCCAAGACGGAGGGCGCGUCCGACACCGCCGGCGCUGCCGCGCCGUGGGUGGAGAAGUAUCGGCCACGCACAUUGGCAGAGGUGGAGGCGCAGGAUGAGGCCGUUGGCGCCCUCCGCGCGUGCUUGAAGGAGGGGGCCAACAUGCCUCACUUUCUCUUUCACGGCCCACCUGGCACGGGCAAGACGACGUCCAUCCUCGCCGUGGCGCACGAGCUCUUCGGCCCCGACUACAUCCGAAGUCGGGUGCGCGAGCUAAACGCCUCUGACGACCGUGGCAUCAACGUGGUCCGGGAGAAGGUGAAAAUCUUUGCGCAAGGCGCUGUCUCGAGCAGCGGUAGCAGCGUCACCCAGUCGGAUGGAAAAGUCUACCCGGUUCCACCUUUCAAGCUCAUCAUUCUCGACGAGGCCGACGCACUGCUCCCCGAUGCUCAGGCUGCUCUGCGGCGCAUGAUGGAGGACUUUAGCGAUGUGACCCGCUUUUGCAUCCUCUGCAACUACGUAAGCCGCAUCAUCGAUCCGAUCGCGAGCCGAUGCGCCAAGUAUCGCUUCAAACCGCUUGUAAAGAGUGCCCUCUAUCACCGUAUCGAGUACGUGGCCCAAGCCGAGGGCAUCACCCUCUCACCAGCCUCUCUCCACGCCUUGGACACCGUGAGUGGCGGCGAUCUCCGUCUCGCCAUUAUGCACCUCCAGUCGGCACAAAAGGCGAAGGGGGACGACUUGUCGAAGGAGGACUUCGUCUCCGUAUCUGGCAGCGUGCCGGCGGACGUGAUGCAGCGAUACCUCAGCGCACUGUUCUCUCACCGCUUAGAGGAGGUGAUUCAGGCAUCGCGCAGGCUGGUUGCGGAGGGCUUCGCCGCCGCACAGGUGCUGCUUCAGAUGCAGCACUACCUUGUGAGCGCCGAGUGUCCGCUGAACUCGGCCCAGCGCGGCAAGAUUAUGCUAAAGCUGUGUCAGACAGAGCGGCGGCUUGCCGACGGGGGAGACGACUAUCUGCAGCUGCUCGACAUUGGAAGCGCUGUGUGCUCCGCAUAAAGAAGAAGCCAGCGGAAGUGAAUUGAAGCCACAUGAGAAGAAACAGAACGAUACAUGCGCAGGCGUGUGCGCGUGCAUGGGUUCAACUGCGAGUGCUGCACCAUUGGCAGCCUUGGACAAUGGAAGAUGUUCGAUGGCGUCAUAGAC
Molecule: unclassified non-coding RNA, 1433 nt
Filed under: Leishmania donovani
Lineage: Eukaryota; Euglenozoa; Kinetoplastea; Trypanosomatida; Trypanosomatidae
Description: gene:LdHU3.30.3520(CDS-product:replication_factor _C_subunit_2_putative)
Source: RNAcentral